AACGAACGCUGGCGGCAUGCCUAACACAUGCAAGUCGAACGAGACCUUCGGGUCUAUUGGCGCUCGGGUGCGUAACGCCUGGGAACCUGCCCUUAGGUUCGGAAUAACUCCCCGAAAGGGGUGCUAAUACCGGAUAAUGUCUUCGGACCAAAGAUGUAUCGCCUUUGGAUGGGCGCGCGUUGGAUUAGCUAGUUGGUAGGGUAAAAGCCUACCAAGGCGAGGAUCCAUAGCUGGUCUGAGAGGAUGAUCCGCCACACUGGGACUGAGACACGGCCCAGACUCCUACGGAAGGGAGCAGAGGGGAAUAUAGGACAAUGGGGGAAAGCCUGACCCAGCAAUGCCGGGUGAGUGAUGAAGGCCGUAGGGAUGUAAAGCUCUUUUACCCGGGAUGAUAAUGACAGUACCGGGAGAAUAAGCGCCGGCUAACUCCGUG
RNAcentral lists this ribosomal RNA (433 nucleotides) under uncultured bacterium. RNAcentral's name for it is "partial 16S ribosomal RNA". It matches the Rfam family "Bacterial small subunit ribosomal RNA", at positions 29 to 507 of the family's 1533-position model. The record is from RNAcentral.